GAGCCUGCAGUCCCUGGGAGCCGGUCCAGGGUACAGCCUGCGCGAGGGAAAAGGUUUGAACAAGGAGAGGAAGGAGGAACGAGAAACAGAGGUCGUUGCUUUGAGUCGGGGGAGAGUUUGAGCCAAUAAUUGGUGUGCUGGGCAGAGGACGGCAGCAGGCGUGUGCAGGUACCUACUUCUGUCUUCCUCUCCCUGGUCCACCUUGUUAAGCGCCAGUCCAUCCCAGAUGUCCAGAGAGGAGACCCACCACUGCAGGGGCUCACAGGAAGGACUCAGGGCAACAAAAGGCAGAGAAGAGCCUAGAAGCGGAUUUCUGUUUCCCAGGGCAUCAGAAGUUGGCACUGCUGGGACCACUCCCACGGGAGAGGAUGGAUUCCCCGGUGGAGGCGGUACCACAGCCUCAGAUCCACAACGUCACCGGACAGUGCCAGACCCCGGGAAGAGAAAGAAGGCGUGGUCCCGGCCCCCGGCCCCUCCUGGCCACGGGACUGUCUUCCUUUUUUUUUUUUUUUUUUUUUUCCAAAGCACAAUGUCUCUGCUGCCAAGAGCGGGUUUGUCUGUCUCCUGGAAACCGCGGUUGUCAAGUCCUCGAAGCAAGAGCAAGCGUGUCAAAAAUAGCACGGCCGCAGACGGCGCGGCUGCAGCUCCUUUGACAUGCUGGUUUCACUCUCGCCAAAGAGCCGGGGUCUGUCUGCGUUCCCUGCACCUGUGACAGAGGCUGCUUAAGGCUCCGGGAUUUUUCUAGGGCCGGGCAAAGAGUGUCCGCCAGGCGCGGGACAGACUAAAGGAAAAGCCCCUCCACAGUAACAAGGGUGAGGUCGGAGGUGUGCUCAAAAAGGAGAAAAAAUUGUCCCAGAUAAACCAUAAUGGAAAAGAAUAUGAAAAAGAAUAUAUAUGUAUAACUGACUCACUUUGCUGUGCAGCAGAAAUUGACACAACAUGGUAAAGCAACUCUACUUCAAUAAAAUCCAUUAAAAAAAAUUGUCGUAAACCCCAUCAGGGCUAGGCCCCCAAUAGGUUAGGUGACAGCCAAGGUGCGACCAGUCUUGAGGGCAUUGACUAUGGUGUCUGCCUCUUCUUUCUCUCUUGUUCUGGGAACGAGCAGUCACUUGUUUUGGAUAACCUUUCCCAAGGGCUCACUGAGAGGUUUCCACUCCUUCUUUAGGGAAGCAAGGGGAUGAGGACCAAAGAUAACUAAUGAGGACCUGCUGCACAGCACAGGGAGCUCUACUCAGUACUCUGUGAUGACCUAGAUGGGAAAAGAAUCUAAAAACGAGUGGAUCUAUGUAUAUGUAUAACUGAUUCACUUCGCUGUACACCUGAAACUAACACAACAUUGUAAGUCAGCUAGACUCCAAUAAAAAUUUUUAAAAAUAUAUGGGACGAAGGGGUGGUAUGAAUGCCUUUCUCUAGGAGUUCAGAGCAAAAGGAAGGGAAAGAAAUGACCCUCUCCAACCCCACAAGGACCUCGAGCCCAGAACAGGAGAGCGGUUCAUCGGGGAGACACGGUAACACGAGAACUAAGAGCCCAUCUGUCCUCAUCCCCAGUGGUCUGCAUCCAGAGGUUCCCUUUCCCGAAAAGCCCUAGGCUCCAGUCUUAUUGUGGUCCAAGAGAGCCGCGCACCCCGGGAAGCCCGGAGUCAAGUGGGAUGGAGAAAGGAAAUCUUUUGGUUUAAAGAAUGGAUUUCUUUUCCUUCCCUGAGUGACCUUGACAAGCUAGAAUUAGACCAAACUUUGCUUCCCGGGGCAAUAACGGACAGUCAAAGCCAAUCAGAGCCGGCCCGGAGGUCCCAGCCAGAUUGUCCCGGGAGGACGGUGUCCUCUGGAAAUGUAUCUUGGCAUUUAUGGAGAGAUGCUGGGGGACAAAACACUGCCAAAAGCGAGGGCUCAGCCAGGGGAGAGAAGGCAUGAUAAACAGCAGGACCGGAAGGUGUCAUGUGAGGAAAAGCAGGGCAGGGGUCGGGGGUCGUGGUGAAGGAAGGGAUUGGCGAGCGGAAGGCAAGUAGGAGCAAGAGAGGAACGACAGGGACUUCCCGGGUGGGCCAGUGGCUAAGACUCAGCGCUCCCAACGCAGGGGGCCCGGGUUCAAUCCCCGGUCAGUGAACUAGAUCCCACAUGCUGCAACUAAGACCUGGCCCCGCCAAAUAAAUAAAUAAAUAUUUUUUUAAAAAAAGAGAGAGAGAGAGCGAGGAAUGACAUCCAAUGAGCGUUCUUGGAGGAGGACGACCUAAGGGAAGACUCUCACCCCUACUUCUUCUGUUUCCUGGAAGCACCACAGCCUGCGGGGCCCCAUCAGCAGCUGGAGGGUAGGGACCCGGCCAGGAGAAAAACACCUUGACUCCUGUGUAAUUUCUUAAGGAAUUCUGAGUUUCCAGGUACAGAGGUAAGGUGGCGGUUUCUGCCUUUGGUUCAGUACAUGCUAACCAGGCUCUGUAAGGACCAGGAAUGGCUUGGCCUGUCUUCAGAGCCAAAAGAAAGGGGCAUGUCAGUCCCACAAAGGUUUCAUUGUCAAAAUUCAGAACAAAAGAAAACAAACAGCUCUUGGCACUGGAAGGGAGGAGCAGGCAGCAACUGUAUGAAAGUUCUAAAGUGUCCCCGUGUGGCAGAGAAAAAAAACUGUCAUUCCAUCCUGAAUACGCAGUCUGGUCCAUCUUUAGAGAGGCUUAACCUCUAGAUUUAUAAAACCAAAGCAUCUCCCAGACAAGAGGUGAAACUCUGAGGUUAUUAGUCUCACGUCACUUUUUUUUUUAACAAUUCAGUGACUUUUUUGGGUUGCCUUAUAGAGCUGUACAACUGUCACCACAAUCCUCCUUUAGAAAAUGUCCCUUACCCUCCAAAAGCCGCCUGAUAUCCUGAUGCAGGUGGGACUCAGCCUACACGACCUCCAGCAAGGAGAUGCACAAGCUUCCCUCUGGACCGGUUGGUGAAUCUUAACCCAUCAUGCCAAGGAGUGUCCCCCGCACCUUGCACCACUGACAUUUAUGUCCUUUGCUUUUCUUCUGCCUUCAGGGGACAAGAGAGACAGCUCUGAGACCCUUCAAGUGAAUUAAGGGCAGUCAGAAAGUCGCCCUUGAAUGAAGACCUUUUCUAGUCUAAUUCCACGCUAUGCCUUCCUCCUAAGCCCUCUUUUCUGUGUUUAUUUCACUGUUUCCACUGUGCCAUUGUCUUGAACCUUUCUGUAAGCUCCUUAAGGUUGGGGGACCCUGAGGUGAGCAUAGUCCUAUGCUACACAAAGUAUUUCUCUGAAAUGUAUUGCUAUCAGGUU
Molecule: long non-coding RNA, 3265 nt
Organism: Orcinus orca (killer whale)
Lineage: Eukaryota; Metazoa; Chordata; Mammalia; Artiodactyla; Delphinidae
Exons: 3
Source: RefSeq, a predicted model, not a curated record